UACUCUCACACUCCCGAUCUUUGGAUUGGGAGCGGUGGACUUGGGUGUUGCUGCUUACCGUGGCUCACCUCAAAUGAAGUCGUGCACCUCUUGGUUGGACAUAGUACGGCGUGAUAAGUGUCUUCGCCGGCGCCUCACUAGAGGGUGGCCGAUCGGGAGCUCUGUGCUUCCAACCGUCCUCGGACAACAACUGACA
Molecule: unclassified non-coding RNA, 196 nt
Filed under: uncultured Sebacina
Lineage: Eukaryota; Fungi; Basidiomycota; Agaricomycetes; Sebacinales; Sebacinaceae
Description: sequence contains ITS2
Source: RNAcentral